GUUUCUUGUUUUUUUUUUCAUAAUUGAAAUUUUUAUGGUUUGUCGUGUAACAAAAUGUGGGUGUGUUUUUUUGGUGGAAUAUUAAAUAUCCCAUGCAUGCACGGACGGACGGACGGACGGAAAAUCCACCAACCCCCCCCCCAUCAUGAUGCAUAGGACGCCAACAGGUGCACAUGUGUGUGUGUGGGUUAUAAAAAGGUAUCUCAAUUGAUCCUUCCGCAGGUUCACCUACGGAAA
Molecule: unclassified non-coding RNA, 237 nt
Filed under: uncultured fungus
Lineage: Eukaryota; Fungi
Description: sequence contains ITS1
Source: RNAcentral